This 782-nucleotide ribosomal RNA is filed under the name uncultured bacterium. RNAcentral describes it as "bacterial SSU rRNA". It matches the Rfam family "Bacterial small subunit ribosomal RNA", at positions 558 to 1339 of the family's 1533-position model. The record is from RNAcentral.
GCGUAAAGCGUGCGUAGGCGGCUUCUUAAGUCGGAUGUGAAAUCCCUGAGCUUAACUUAGGAAUUGCAUUCGAUACUGGGAAGCUAGAGUAUGGGAGAGGAUGGUAGAAUUCCAGGUGUAGCGGCGAAAUGCGUAGAGAUCUGGAGGAAUACCGAUGGCGAAGGCAGCCAUCUGGCCUAAUACUGACGCUGAGGUACGAAAGCAUGGGGAGCAAACAGGAUUAGAUACCCUGGUAGUCCAUGCCGUAAACGAUGUCUACUAGCCGUUGGGGCCUUUGAGGCUUUAGUGGCGCAGCUAACGCGAUAAGUAGACCGCCUGGGGAGUACGGUCGCAAGACUAAAACUCAAAUGAAUUGACGGGGGCCCGCACAAGCGGUGGAGCAUGUGGUUUAAUUCGAUGCAACGCGAAGAACCUUACCUGGUCUUGACAUAGUAAGAACUUUCCAGAGAUGGAUUGGUGCCUUCGGGAACUUACAUACAGGUGCUGCAUGGCUGUCGUCAGCUCGUGUCGUGAGAUGUUGGGUUAAGUCCCGCAACGAGCGCAACCCUUUUCCUUAUUUGCCAGCGGGUUAAGCCGGGAACUUUAAGGAUACUGCCAGUGACAAACUGGAGGAAGGCGGGGACGACGUCAAGUCAUCAUGGCCCUUACGACCAGGGCUACACACGUGCUACAAUGGUCGGUACAAAGGGUUGCUACCUAGCGAUAGGAUGCUAAUCUCAAAAAGCCGAUCGUAGUCCGGAUUGGAGUCUGCAACUCGACUCCAUGAAGUCGGAAUCGCUAGU